Sinocyclocheilus grahami is the source of this 347-nucleotide long non-coding RNA. RefSeq lists it as uncharacterized. Lineage: Eukaryota; Metazoa; Chordata; Actinopteri; Cypriniformes; Cyprinidae. The record is from RefSeq and is a predicted model, not a curated record. The transcript is spliced from 3 exons.
CACAGUAGGAGCUACAGCGGACAGCAGACCGAGCGGGUUUAGAAAGUAAAAGCUUUUUGCCCUUUAUCUACACAGUUUCUGUUCAUGUCACCUGGAGAGAAACAGUAUCAUGGGAGAUAUCUGAAAUGGAAUGUAUUUCAGGCAAUUUGGGAAUACAAGAUUUAAUAGUGUUUCGCUGUGAUUUUGCACUACAGGAAGCCCACUCUUUACAAAAUGGGGGUGAAAGAUUGCCCUCAGUGCUAUUUUGAUGUGGAGAUCAAUAGAGAACUAGUUGGACGAAUUGUCUGUCAAUUGUUCUCCGAUGUUUGUCCCAAGACAAGCAAAAAUUUUCUUUGCCUGUGCACUGG